GCCUGGGUGGCUCAGUCGGUUAAGCGUCUGACUUCGGCUCAGGUCAUGAUCUCACAGUUUGUGGGUUCAAGCCCCAUGUCAGGCU
RNAcentral lists this transfer RNA (85 nucleotides) under Felis catus (domestic cat). It matches the Rfam family "tRNA". Rfam says of the family: Transfer RNA (tRNA) molecules are approximately 80 nucleotides in length. The record is from Rfam by way of RNAcentral. Lineage: Eukaryota; Metazoa; Chordata; Mammalia; Carnivora; Felidae.